Molecule: transfer RNA, 71 nt
Filed under: Candidatus Parcubacteria bacterium
Lineage: Bacteria; Candidatus Parcubacteria
Description: tRNA-Ala
Rfam family: tRNA
About the family: Transfer RNA (tRNA) molecules are approximately 80 nucleotides in length. Their secondary structure includes four short double-helical elements and three loops (D, anti-codon, and T loops).
Source: RNAcentral
GGGCAUGUAAUUCAGUGGCAGAAUACUGCUUUCGCAUAGCAGAUACAUGAGUUCAAUUCUCAUCAUGUCCA